GAACGCAUAUUGCGCCCGCCAGCACUCUGGCGGGCAUGCCUGUUCGAGCGUCAUUUCAACCCUCAAGUUUUAGUUACUUGGCGUUGGGGCACUGCGGCCUAACCUGCAGGCCCCCAAAUCUAGCGGCGGAUCCGCCGCGGCCCUGAGCGCAGUAACAUUACCGGUUGCCAUUGCCAUACAUUUAAAACGCUCCGGCGGCCGUGGCGCCUCUCGCCCAAGAGCACCACCCGUAAAGUGUAGAAACAAAGUUGACCUCGGAUCAGGUAGGACUACCCGCUGAACUUAAG
RNAcentral lists this unclassified non-coding RNA (287 nucleotides) under uncultured fungus. RNAcentral describes it as "sequence contains 5.8S rRNA gene". The stretch from base 1 to 53 matches the Rfam family "5.8S ribosomal RNA", at positions 102 to 154 of the family's 154-position model. Lineage: Eukaryota; Fungi. The record is from RNAcentral.